UAGGCUGCAACUCGCCUACACGAAGUCGGAAUCGCUAGUAAUCGCGGAUCAGCAUGCCGCGGUGAAUACGUUCCGGGCCUUGUACACACCGCCCGUCACACCAUGGGAGUUUGUAACGCCCAAAGUCGGUGGCCUAACCUUUAUGGAGGGAGCCGCCUAAGGCGGGACAGAUGACUGGGGUGAAGUCGUAACAAGGUAGC
This 200-nucleotide ribosomal RNA is filed under the name uncultured bacterium. Its description in RNAcentral is "partial 16S ribosomal RNA". It matches the Rfam family "Bacterial small subunit ribosomal RNA", at positions 1301 to 1500 of the family's 1533-position model. The record is from RNAcentral.